CGAUACUCCGAAAAGACCGGGCAUGACGUCCGGCCACCGAAGGUGCAACCUCCCAUGGCGGAGGGAAUCUCUCAGGUAACACAACGGGGGCA
RNAcentral lists this non-coding RNA (92 nucleotides) under human gut metagenome. Its description in RNAcentral is "Glycine riboswitch". It matches the Rfam family "Glycine riboswitch aptamer", at positions 9 to 86 of the family's 94-position model. From Rfam's summary of the family: This family represents the bacterial glycine riboswitch. Glycine riboswitches usually consist of two metabolite-binding aptamers domains with similar structures in tandem. The record is from RNAcentral.